This 693-nucleotide long non-coding RNA is filed under the name Rattus norvegicus (Norway rat). RNAcentral describes it as "long non-coding RNA NONRATT006155". Lineage: Eukaryota; Metazoa; Chordata; Mammalia; Rodentia; Muridae. The record is from RNAcentral.
UGAGUACAUAGCUGUGAUUGGCUUAGAACUCGGAGAUCUGCCUGCCUCUGCUUCCAAAGUGCUGAGAUUCAAGGCGUGUGCCUCAGUUCUUCAGAGGUUAACUUACUACACUUGAGUAGAGUGGAGUGCAAAACAGAACCUUUCUGAUUUGGCCAAGACCUUGUCUGUCUGCCUUUCUGCUAGCUGAUCCUAGCUGUCCAGUUUUCUCCUAGCCCUUUGCCCAGAAAUUUGCAAGGAAUGAUGGGAGUCCAUAGACUAGCAAGUGCUGCUAAAGUCCAGUGGCUUCUACCCUUUCUCCUCAUUCCUGUCAUCUUCCUAGAGCCUCUUCUAUGAAGUGGGAUGGCAUAGCUACUGUGCCAGGAUCUCCAGGGGCAAACUGCCCCUCAGAGUUCAUGCACACUGAGGGAUGACAGCUCACAGCAGAGGAACAAGGCAUGUGUGAAGAUGCUCCCUCAGUGGAAGUCUGAGUUGUCCUGCCCCGGGCCCUACUGUCCUGACUUCUGCAAACCGCCUAUGGGACAGAUGAAUUGGCCCAAGCCCUUGGUCAACAGGACGUUAAGGACAGAGUCCUGAAAAAUAGAAGACUAGUAAAAUAGCAUUCUGUGCUGAUCAACUAACCUUAUUUUCAAAGCUCCUAUGCAUAUUUUCUGUCUGUCCAUUAUGAUUUUAAGAUAAAGCCUUGGUGUAUAACAC